Molecule: long non-coding RNA, 1824 nt
Filed under: Marmota monax (woodchuck)
Lineage: Eukaryota; Metazoa; Chordata; Mammalia; Rodentia; Sciuridae
Source: RNAcentral
UGGGCACAGUACCUUUAUUCAUUUCAAUUUUAUUUGAUGUUGAGGAUCAAACCCAGUACCUCACAAAUGCUAGGCAAGUAUUCCACCACUGAGCUACAACCCCAGCCCAUCUUCUUGGCUUCUUAAUUUUAGUAAAGCUGACACAUGGAAGUAGAGUUGAACAUUUGGCUGAAUUCUUUUACCACUAUCUUCACCUUUGCUUAUUACUCAGAUCUCUUUUGCUUUCAUAUAGGGUCUUUUUAUGGUCCCAAACUCUUGGGCUCAAAUAAUGUCCCACUUAGCUACCUGAGUAGCUGGGAUAUAGGUAUGCAUGACAACACCCUUGCUUGAAAUGUUUUUUCUUAGUCUUCUAUCAGAAUUCUUAUGAAAAGAGUCUAGCUCAAACCUCUCUCAGAGUUUUGAUUGGAAAAACAUUUGUAUUAAACUUUUCAUUUCUCUAAGGAACGAGUUGAAGCAGUUAACAUGGCUGAAGGAAUCAUUCAUGACACAGAAACCAAGAUGGAAGAAUUCAAGGACCAAUUACCUGCUGAUGAGGUAAACUGUUCUCAAACAAUUGAAGAGAUUGGGGGAAUUAUCACCACUGAGUGAAGUUUGUUUUUCUGUGUAUCAUGAUAUAAGUAAUCAGUUUUUUAAGUGUUCUGAAUAUUACUGCAACACAUAAUGGGACAGAAGACCUGAGAAAAUGAAAAUUUUUGUCUUUUUUUAAGUGCAACAAACUUAAAGAAGAGAUAUCCAAAAUGAGGGAGCUCCUGGCUCGAAAAGACAGUGAAACGGGAGAAAACAUCAGGCAGGCAGCAUCCUCCCUUCAGCAGGCAUCAUUAAAGCUCUUUGAAAUGGCAUACAAAAAGGUACAAGGGCUGACGGGUAUUUUGAUCCUGAUUACUUUUCUUGUAACUUUUUUAAAUUACUGUUACUGGUGUUCUUCUCUCCAUGUCAUUUAUGGAAUUGAGAAUAGGAUUUUAAAACAUCUCCUGCCAUCUUGAUUCUAUUUAGGGAAUGAUGAUAGUGUCAAAGGAAUCGGGAAAGCACUAGUGUAGGGGAUGGAACAGGAGUGCACGGGAUGAGACUCCUUUGUUUUGGUGUUGAAGUAUUAGCUUAAUAUUCUGAAUGGGUAUCAAAUGUUUUCUUAACAGAUGGCAUCUGAGAGAGAAGGCUCUGGAAGUUCUGGCACUGGGGAACAAAAGGAAGAUCAAAAGGAGGAGAAACAGUAAUAGUACAUUGGAGCCAAAAAGACCACAUUCUAUAUGAAGCUUAGGAGUGAAGGCACUUCCUGAGCAGAAAUGGGCAACCUUCAGUCUUUACUGUAUUUUUGCAGUAUUCAAUAUAUAAUUUCCUUGAUAUGUAAAUUUAGUGACCAUUAGCUGAUGAACAUUUAAUGGGCAAUAAUUCUAUGCAGUACAAAGUUCACAAUGUUCUCUCCCUGGCCUGUUAAUUUUCAGCUGCAUGUGAAAGGGUUAGGGGUAGACGAUUUACUAAUCAUUAUAAAGACUUCCUGUUGGUUUGUGCUAAAGUGGCAAUAUUUUCAAGGUGUGAAACUAUAUCAAACACAAUAAAGGAGAUGUACCAUAAUAACCUGGAAUGAGACCAUAAUGAGGAUGAAGAUCCUAGUUGGUCAAGAGCACUGCUGUAAUAGCCGAUGUGUACUCGGGGUCCUUCGGCUGAGGCCUUGAAGCACAAGAGAGCUAGCUGUGCUAAGGUUGUAGUAGGUGGGACAGAGGAAGCUGGUCAGUGGAAAACUAAGCUAUUUAUGUUAGGUAGCUUAAAAUAAGGUAGUUCUUAAAUCCCUAAUGUUCCUAAGGCAUACUUUUCUAGCUACCCUCUGGC